GACGAACGCUGGCAGCGUGCCUAAUACAUGCAAGUCGAGCGAGACUCUUCGGAGUCUAGCGGCGGACGGGUGAGUAACACGUGGGCAACCUGCCUGUAAGACUGGGAUAACACCGGGAAACCGGUGCUAAUACCGGAUAAUCCUUUUUCUCUCAUGAGGAAAAGCUGAAAGUCGGUUUCGGCUGACACUUACAGAUGGGCCCGCGGCGCAUUAGCUAGUUGGUGAGGUAACGGCUCACCAAGGCGACGAUGCGUAGCCGACCUGAGAGGGUGAUCGGCCACACUGGGACUGAGCCACGGCCCAGACUCCUACGGGAGGCAGCAGUAGGGAAUCUUCCACAAUGGACGAAAGUCUGAUGGAGCAACGCCGCGUGAGCGAUGAAGGCCUUCGGGUCGUAAAGCUCUGUUGUUAGGGAAGAACAAGUACCGGAGUAACUGCCGGUACCUUGACGGUACCUAACCAGAAAGCCACGGCUAACUACGUGCCAGCAGCCGCCGUAA
Molecule: ribosomal RNA, 500 nt
Filed under: uncultured bacterium
Lineage: Bacteria
Description: partial 16S ribosomal RNA
Rfam family: Bacterial small subunit ribosomal RNA
Source: RNAcentral